RNAcentral lists this ribosomal RNA (468 nucleotides) under uncultured bacterium. RNAcentral describes it as "bacterial SSU rRNA". It matches the Rfam family "Bacterial small subunit ribosomal RNA", at positions 328 to 794 of the family's 1533-position model. The record is from RNAcentral.
CACCCAGACUCCUACGGGAGGCAGCAGUGAGGAAUAUUGGUCAAUGGGCGCGAGCCUGAACCAGCCAAGUCUCGUGAGGGAAGACGGUCCUAUGGCUUUUAAACCUCUUUUGUCGGGGAGCAAAAUACGCCACGCUUUUCUUUCCGAGAUUACCCGAAGAAAAAGCAUCGGCUAACUCCUUUCCAGCAGCCGCUGUAAUACGGAGGAUGCGAGCGUUAUCCGGAUUUAUUGGGUUUAAAGGGUGCGCAGGCGGAAGAUCAAGUCGGCGGUAAAAUUGAGAGGCUCAACCUCUUCGAGCCGUUGAAACUGGUUUUCUUGAGUGAGUGAGAAGUAUGCGGAAUGCGUGGUGUAGCGGUGAAAUGCAUAGAUAUUGCGCAGAACUCCGAUUGCGAAGGCAGCAUACCGGCGGUGAUCUGACGCUGAGGCACGAAAGCGUGGGUAUCGAACAGGAUUAGAUACCCGAGUAGG